ACUCCUACGGGAGGCAGCAGUGGGGAAUAUUGCACAAUGGGCGCAAGCCUGAUGCAGCCAUGCCGCGUGUAUGAAGAAGGCCUUCGGGUUGUAAAGUACUUUCAGCAGUGAGGAAGGCAGGUACCGUUAAUAGCGUGCUUGUUUGACGUUAGCUGCAGAAGAAGCACCGGCUAACCUCCGUGCCAGCAGCCGCGGUAAUACGGAGGGUGCGAGCGUUAAUCGGAAUUACUGGGCGUAAAGCGCAUGCAGGUGGUUUGUUAAGUCAGAUGUGAAAGCCCGGGGCUCAACCUCGGAAUUGCAUUUGAAACUGGCAGACUAGAGUACUGUAGAGGGGGGUAGAAUUUCAGGUGUAGCGGUGAAAUGCGUAGAGAUCUGAAGGAAUACCGGUGGCGAAGGCGGCCCCCUGGACAGAUACUGACACUCAGAUGCGAAAGCGUGGGGAGCAAACAGGAUUAGAUACCCUGGUAGCUAC
RNAcentral lists this ribosomal RNA (472 nucleotides) under uncultured bacterium. RNAcentral's name for it is "bacterial SSU rRNA". It matches the Rfam family "Bacterial small subunit ribosomal RNA", at positions 335 to 798 of the family's 1533-position model. The record is from RNAcentral.